GAUAAACGCUGGCGGCGUGCAUGAGACAUGCAAGUCGAACGAAGGAUCGGGCUUGCUCGAUCCUUAGUGGCGGACGGCUGAGUGACGCGUAGGUGACCUACCCCGAAGUGGGGAAUAACUGCCCGAAAGGGUGGCUAAUACCGCAUGUGGUCGCACGUUCAUUCGUGCGAGUAAAGCCGCAAGGCGCUUCGGGAGGGGCCUGCGUCCGAUUAGCUCGUUGGUGGGGUAAUGGCUUACCAAGGCGACGAUCGGUAGGUGGUCUGAGAGGACGAUCACCCAGACUGGGACUGAGACACGGCCCAGACUCCUACGGGAGGCAGCAGUCGGGAAUUUUGCUCAAUGGGGGAAACCCUGAAGCAGCAACGCCGCGUGAGGGAUGAAGGCCUUCGGGUUGUAAACCUCUUUUGUCAGGGACGAUGAUGACGGUACCUGGCGAAUAAGCCACGGCUAACUACGUG
Molecule: ribosomal RNA, 458 nt
Filed under: uncultured bacterium
Lineage: Bacteria
Description: partial 16S ribosomal RNA
Rfam family: Bacterial small subunit ribosomal RNA
Source: RNAcentral